This 91-nucleotide transfer RNA is filed under the name Mycolicibacterium smegmatis MKD8. Its description in RNAcentral is "tRNA-Glu". Lineage: Bacteria; Bacillati; Actinomycetota; Actinomycetes; Mycobacteriales; Mycobacteriaceae. The record is from RNAcentral.
GGAUCCGUUGCCCGGCCGCGGUCCGCAGCGCCGGUGACCCUCGCUCACUGAGCGAACAGCACCGCGGGGUUCAGGUAACCCCGCGGAUCCA